This is a long non-coding RNA of Micropterus dolomieu (smallmouth bass), 1446 nucleotides long. RefSeq lists it as uncharacterized. The record is from RefSeq and is a predicted model, not a curated record. NCBI's taxonomy places the organism in Eukaryota, Metazoa, Chordata, Actinopteri, Centrarchiformes, Centrarchidae. The transcript is spliced from 3 exons.
CUACAGUACAAGCAGCGAGAAAAGCAUCUGUCACCACUACAGCGGGCGGCUGGGGGCCCCUCCCUGAGGCAGCACCGGUUCCCAGGUAGAGAGAGGAGAGAUGGGAGGAGAGUUCCCACCACACUCCUAACCGUUCUCACCGCAGCUCAUUGGUCGCUUGUUGCGUCAUCGCUGAAACACGACACUCCAACAGCAGUGCAGGCAGGUGUAUGUGGCUGCAGGGCAGAAGGCGCAGAACUGGAGGACACCCCUUGUUAGAUUCAGGCAGCCAGAUGGGCAGGAGAGGAGUGACAUGAACUGUGGUGCUUUAGAGAGAGGGAUGACUGGCUGUAGGGACCUGUCACUCACGUGCAGGGGGAGUCAAUGUGGAGCUUAAUGAAUCCUCCACAGCCACCAGUGGACAAGACGAAGCUCUGUGUGGACACCAGACUGCCAGACAGUACACCAUCCUGCCUCCUUUUCACUCUUUUUUUCAGUCUUUGCCUCUCUCAUGGCCACCACUUUCAUCCUGGUAAAGUUUAAGAAACACUUUUUAUGUAGUUCCCAAGCAGUUAAUUUUAUUUUCUGCCUUCACUUGAUGGUUUUCAUUUUAAAAGGAAGACAUGUCCAAAUUUCAAGGAAAACAUCUUUGAUUUAAAACAUGUACAUUUCAUAAAAUAACAAAUACAGUUUUACACAAGGUGUUCCUGGAUGGCAUACGAGAUGUUUACAACAAACUGUUGAGCUGUGGUGCCACAUAAAUAUCCCCUUGAGACAUGAGAUAAUUCAUUAAUAGAGUGGUCAUAUCUCUCUGGGAGGCGGGACACUGGUAACAAUAACACAUGAAAAUGAGACAGUUUGCUACUGUGGCUGCUGUAGUUAAUCAUCCCUCUGUCAAAUUAGCCUCCAGCCCUGCAUGGAGGACAGCACAGCAGAUAGACAGGGCAUCGUUAGCUGCACUGUGCAACAAAGGCCUAGCAAUGGGGAGGCUGCAGCUAUACUGGUAAUGUCAGGUCCCAGGUCAGCUUGGUCCAGAGCCAGUGGAAGCCCAUGCUGCGCUCUGCCUGUCCGGUGUUGUCAUAACAGAGCAGUUGUACUGUAUGAGGCCACGAGGAAAGACAAGACCGGCUGCACCCUCCUGAAGACAGGCAGAACAACAGGACCACACACUCGUUUCUCAUUAACAUCAGCCAAAGUAUUGUUCUUUUUUUUCUUCCCUUUCACAUGUUCUGAUACGGACCUACUCAGAGUAACAGAAUAAGCGUAAUGUAGCUUAAAUUACUCUGCCAUGGGGUGUCUGGGAAAGUUACUUCCAACAUGUAAUCAGUUUCAGAUUACACAUUGCUUCUUUGUAUUAGCUUUGUGAAUUUAUCCAUUGUGAUAACUUGGCAUAGAUAAUCCCAGUAAAUGAAAAAUCUAAUCCCUUGUCAUUUGUUUCUCUGUAAUACUGAAAGUUGUCUACUUGUU